This 771-nucleotide ribosomal RNA is filed under the name uncultured bacterium. RNAcentral's name for it is "bacterial SSU rRNA". It matches the Rfam family "Bacterial small subunit ribosomal RNA", at positions 8 to 768 of the family's 1533-position model. The record is from RNAcentral.
AGAGUUUGAUCCUGGCUCAGGAUUAACGCUAGCGGCAGGCUUAAUACAUGCAAGUCGAGGGGCAGCAUGUCCCGUAGCAAUACGGGAUGAUGGCGACCGGCAAACGGGUGCGGAACACGUACAGAACCUUCCUUCGAGCGGGGAAUAGCCCAGAGAAAUUUGGAUUAAUACCCCAUGGUAUAUUUGAAAGGCAUCUUUUAAAUAUUAAAGAUUUAUCACUUGAAGAUGGCUGUGCGGCUGAUUAGGUAGUUGGCGGGGUAACGGCCCACCAAGCCUGCGAUCAGUAACUGGUGUGAGAGCACGACCAGUCACACGGGCACUGAGGCACGGGCCCGACUCCUACGGGAGGCAGCAGUAAGGAAUAUUGGUCAAUGGACGAAAGUCUGAACCAGCCAUGCCGCGUGGAGGAUGAAGGUCCUCUGGAUUGUAAACUUCUUUUAUAUGGGACGAAAAAAGGCUUUUCUAAGUCGUCUGACGGUACCAUAUGAAUAUGCACCGGCUAACUCCGUGCCAGCAGCCGCGGUAAUACGGAGGGUGCAAGCGUUAUCCGGAUUCACUGGGUUUAAAGGGUGCGUAGGUGGGUUGGUAAGUCAGUGGUGAAAUCCCCGAGCUUAACUCGGGAACUGCCAUUGAUACUAUUAAUCUUGAAUACCGUGGAGGUCAGCGGAAUAUGUCAUGUAGCGGUGAAAUGCUUAGAUAUGACAUAGAACACCAAUUGCGAAGGCAGCUGGCUACUCGAGUAUUGACACUGAGGCACGAAAGCGUGGGGAU